GGAUCCCUACGGGGCGCAGCAGUGAGGAAUAUUGGUCAAUGGCCGAGAGGCUGAACCAGCCAAGUCGCGUGAGGGAAGACGGCCCUACGGGUUGUAAACCUCUUUUGUCGGGGAGCAAAGCGAGUCACGUGUGACUCAUUGAGAGUACCCGAAGAAAAAGCAUCGGCUAACUCCGUGCCAGCAGCCGCGGUAAUACGGAGGAUGCGAGCGUUAUCCGGAUUUAUUGGGUUUAAAGGGUGCGUAGGCGGGUUAUCAAGUCAGCGGUAAAAUCGUGGAGCUCAACUCCAUCCAGCCGUUGAAACUGA
RNAcentral lists this ribosomal RNA (305 nucleotides) under uncultured bacterium. RNAcentral describes it as "bacterial SSU rRNA". It matches the Rfam family "Bacterial small subunit ribosomal RNA", at positions 333 to 636 of the family's 1533-position model. The record is from RNAcentral.